AUUGAACGCUAGCGGGAUGCCUUACACAUGCAAGUCGAACGGCAGCACGGACUUCGGUCUGGUGGCGAGUGGCGAACGGGUGAGUAAUGUAUCGGAACGUGCCCAGUAGCGGGGGAUAACUACGCGAAAGCGUAGCUAAUACCGCAUACGCCCUACGGGGGAAAGCAGGGGAUCGCAAGACCUUGCACUAUUGGAGCGGCCGAUAUCGGAUUAGCUAGUUGGUGGGGUAACGGCUCACCAAGGCGACGAUCCGUAGCUGGUUUGAGAGGACGACCAGCCACACUGGGACUGAGACACGGCCCAGACUCCUACGGGAGGCAGCAGUGGGGAAUUUUGGACAAAGGGGGAAACCCUGAUCCAGCCAUCCCGCGUGUGCGAUGAAGGCCUUCGGGUUGUAAAGCACUUUUGGCAGGAAAGAAACGUCGCGGGUUAAUACCUCGCGAAACUGACGGUACCUGCAGAAUAAGCACCGGCUAACUACGUG
Molecule: ribosomal RNA, 484 nt
Filed under: uncultured bacterium
Lineage: Bacteria
Description: partial 16S ribosomal RNA
Rfam family: Bacterial small subunit ribosomal RNA
Source: RNAcentral